GAUGAACGCUAGCGACAGGCCUAACACAUGCAAGUCGAGGGGCAGCAUUACCGCUUGCGGUAGAUGGCGACCGGCGCACGGGUGCGUAACGCGUAUGGAACCUUCCUCUUACAGGGGGACAGCCCGGAGAAAUCUGGAUUAAUACCCCAUUGUUCCCUUUGCCCGCAUGGGCAUUGGGAUAAAGUUUCGGCGGUAAGAGAUGGCCAUGCGUGACAUUAGGUAGUUGGAGGGGUAACGGCCCCCCAAGCCGACGAUGUCUAGGGGUUCUGAGAGGAAGGUCCCCCACACUGGUACUGAGACACGGACCAGACUCCUACGGGAGGCAGCAGUGAGGAAUAUUGGUCAAUGGGCGAGAGCCUGAACCAGCCAUGUCGCGUGCAGGAAGACUGCCCUAUGGGUUGUAAACUGCUUUUGUACGGGAAUAACGCGUCCUACGUGUAGGAUCUUGAAGGUACCGUACGAAUAAGCAUCGGCUAACUCCG
Molecule: ribosomal RNA, 482 nt
Filed under: uncultured Bacteroidales bacterium
Lineage: Bacteria; Pseudomonadati; Bacteroidota; Bacteroidia; Bacteroidales
Description: bacterial SSU rRNA
Rfam family: Bacterial small subunit ribosomal RNA
Source: RNAcentral